RNAcentral lists this ribosomal RNA (450 nucleotides) under uncultured bacterium. Its description in RNAcentral is "partial 16S ribosomal RNA". It matches the Rfam family "Bacterial small subunit ribosomal RNA", at positions 354 to 796 of the family's 1533-position model. The record is from RNAcentral.
GUGGGGAAUAUUGGACAAUGGGCGAAAGCCUGAUCCAGCCAUGCCGCGUGUGUGAAGAAGGUCUUCGGAUUGUAAAGCACUUUAAGUUGGGAGGAAGGGCAGUAAGUUAAUACCUUGCUGUUUUGACGUUACCGACAGAAUAAGCACCGGCUAACUUCGUGCCAGCAGCCGCGGUAAUACGAAGGGUGCAAGCGUUAAUCGGAAUUACUGGGCGUAAAGCGCGCGUAGGUGGUUUUGUAAGUUGGAGGUGAAAUCCCCGGGCUCAACCUGGGAACUGCCUCCAAAACUGCAUGACUAGAGUACGGUAGAGGGUAGUGGAAGUUCCUGUGUAGCGGUGAAAUGCGUAGAUAUAGGAAGGAACACCAGUGGCGAAGGCGACUACCUGGACUGAUACUGACACUGAGGUGCGAAAGCGUGGGGAGCAAACAGGAUUAGAUACCCGUGUAGUCC